CCUACGGGAGGCAGCAGUGGGGAAUAUUGGGCAAUGGGCGCAAGCCUGACCCAGCAACGCCGCGUGAAGGAAGAAGGCUUUCGGGUUGUAAACUACUUUUAUCAGGGAGGAAGCAAGUGACGGUACCUGAUGAAUAAGCCACGGCUAACUACGUGCCAGCAGCCGCGGUAAUCCGUAGGGGGCAAGCGUUAUACGGAUUUACUGGGUGUAAAGGGCGGGUAGGCGGGAUUGCAAGUCAGAUGUGAAAACUAUGGGCUCAACCCAUAGCCUGCAUUUGAAACUGUACUUCUUGAGUGCUGGAGAGGCAAUCGGAAUCCCGUGUGUAGCGGUGAAAUGCGUAGAGAUACGGAGGAACACCAGUGGCGAAGGCGGAUUGCUGGACAGUAACUGACGCUGAUGUGCGAAAGCGUGGGGAGCAAACAGGAUUAGAUACCCGUGUAGUC
Molecule: ribosomal RNA, 443 nt
Filed under: uncultured bacterium
Lineage: Bacteria
Description: partial 16S ribosomal RNA
Rfam family: Bacterial small subunit ribosomal RNA
Source: RNAcentral